Molecule: long non-coding RNA, 448 nt
Organism: Chiroxiphia lanceolata (lance-tailed manakin)
Lineage: Eukaryota; Metazoa; Chordata; Aves; Passeriformes; Pipridae
Exons: 4
Source: RefSeq, a predicted model, not a curated record
CAGUCCACGCUUUCCUCUCAGAAUGCUACACGUACACAAUGCAGACAACCUCAGGCCCUGUGGGAGAACGGAGUCCCUCAAAUGGCGAGAGGUGUCCCGGGAGGCGACUCACCUGAGUGGGGGGCGGAACCCCGCCCAUCCACCAGGGAUUUAAGCGGCUGCCGGGAGCACCUGCGACCCUGCCUGCGGGAACAGGGGCGGGGCACGGCAGUGAGCGAGGCGGUUCGUGCGGGCAGGGCAAGCAGGAGGGGCACGGCCACCUCCCAGCUCUCUCAGUUUUUGUCAAUCUGAACCAUCCAGUGGUAGAAGACAUGCAGAAGGACUACUCAAUGAGUUGCAUUUUGAACAAGGAGUCUCACAAGGACGAGGUAACAGUCAAGCCUGCUCCGUCAGGGCAAAAAUCUUUUCACAAAACCUUCCCAGACUGGAGGAAGUGAAACUGUUUCAC